GUGGAUGGGCUGCAGGGCAGAAGUGGCGGGGGGCAAGAGCAGCCGAGGCAGAGAAGGCCUUCACUUGCUUGGCCAGCAGCUGUUGUUGGAUGUGCUGCGGCGCGGCCUGCUGGAGCUUGCUGGACUUCUCCAUCUCCUCAGGCUUGAAGGUGAUGGGCUGGCUCUCCAGGGGGGCCAGCAAGGCGACCUCCGUCCCCUCCUGGACUCCAUGCGGGUCUUGGACAAUCUCCCAAGGGGAGGGCCGAGGCCCGAGGCCCGCAGGCUCCCUUACCUGAGGAGCUGGAACACUGGACUGUACGCUUUCCUCCUGGUCAGCUCUGUGGGUAGUGUGAGGCCCACGACUGCACAGGCACCUGCCCCAGAAAGUGGGUGUCGCCAUUGGCAGAGAGGGCGGGGCCUGCAGGCAGUGGGCCUGUCAGUUGGAGUCGGGCCUGUCAGUUGGAGUCGGGCCUGUCAGUUGGAGUCUGGCCUUGAUCGGCCCAAGGUCCAGUUACCAGACAUGGAUGGGGGGUUAGUCACUGUGGAGGAGUGCAGGGCUGAGGCACUGGGACAGAGGGGAGCUGAACUGAACUGGGUUUUAGGAGUGGAAGGGCUGCAUCUGCAGAGGGGCCCUGGGCUGGAGGUGUGGCGAAGUUCCACCUGGCCCGGCUAGGCCCCGCCCCUUCCGCCAAAUUGCCCCCCCCCCCGCGCCACAUCUGCACACAUGCGCAAGCAGUCACGUAGUGUACGCUUCCCACCCCGUGCGUGCCUCAGUCCAUGUUCCAGCUGUGACGAAGAGCAUCAGGUUGCAGCCCUGCCUUUGUCCUCGGUGGUUUGGGGCCCGAGGACUCACCCACUGCCCUCACCACUCCAGACCACCACCUUCUGGGAUGCCAGACACUUAGCACCAGAGGCUCCUACCUGGGACAUCCGGCUGCCACACUCCGUGACACGAGGCUGCUGCCUAGGACUCCGCACGUCCACCCAGGAUGCCCAGCUGACCAUGCCCAAGGCCUUCCUGCAGCUUGACCGGCAGAACUAACGGGGCCCAGCAGUGAUGAAGAAAGUGACUAAGACAACUAUCAGUACCACCAUUUCAUAGAUGAGGAAACUGAGGCCCAGAGUGCACACAGUUGCUGAGAUCUGAAAUGGAUGGCUGGCAAGUCUCAAGUACUUUGCACUUCUUUCUCUGUGUGACAGCGAAGGCCAGCCCAGAAGCAACUUGCCCCUGAGAAGGCCACAGAACACAGCAAAAGACCCGGGGAAGGCUUGUGCUGCCCGACACCUGAUGCUCAGGCUCUGAGACACCCAGUUCCUAUGGCAGAAUGACUUCCAGGGGGCAGACUUCUCAUCCAUGGCAGCUGUGUGCAGCAAGGCAUGCCGAACACUGUCCCCAAACCCAGAGUACCUGUCUGCCCUCUGGGCCUGGAUUGGUUUGGGCCCACACUAAGGGGAGAGCAGGAGUCCUAUAAGUUGGGCCACACGGAACAAUAAUAUUCCAUUUAUCCUUUGCUGUUUGUUUGAUGUCUCGAAACCAAAAGAGCUCAGUCAGAGUCUCCACUGC
RNAcentral lists this long non-coding RNA (1543 nucleotides) under Heterocephalus glaber (naked mole-rat). RNAcentral describes it as "lncRNA (ENSHGLG00100040665.1)". Lineage: Eukaryota; Metazoa; Chordata; Mammalia; Rodentia; Bathyergidae. The record is from RNAcentral.